This 2903-nucleotide ribosomal RNA is filed under the name Salmonella enterica. RNAcentral describes it as "bacterial LSU rRNA". It matches the Rfam family "Bacterial large subunit ribosomal RNA". The record is from RNAcentral. Lineage: Bacteria; Pseudomonadati; Pseudomonadota; Gammaproteobacteria; Enterobacterales; Enterobacteriaceae.
UUAAGCGACCAAGCGUACACGGUGGAUGCCCUGGCAGUCAGAGGCGAUGAAGGACGUGCUAAUCUGCGAAAAGCGCCGGUAAGGUGAUAUGAACCGUUAUAACCGGCGAUGUCCGAAUGGGGAAACCCAGUGUGACUCGUCACACUAUCAUUAACUGAAUCCAUAGGUUAAUGAGGCGAACCGGGGGAACUGAAACAUCUAAGUACCCCGAGGAAAAGAAAUCAACCGAGAUUCCCCCAGUAGCGGCGAGCGAACGGGGAGGAGCCCAGAGCCUGAAUCAGCAUGUGUGUUAGUGGAAGCGUCUGGAAAGGCGCGCGAUACAGGGUGACAGCCCCGUACACAAAAGCGCAUGUGCUGUGAGCUCGAUGAGUAGGGCGGGACACGUGGUAUCCUGUCUGAAUAUGGGGGGACCAUCCUCCAAGGCUAAAUACUCCUGACUGACCGAUAGUGAACCAGUACCGUGAGGGAAAGGCGAAAAGAACCCCGGCGAGGGGAGUGAAAAAGAACCUGAAACCGUGUACGUACAAGCAGUGGGAGCACAGGUUUACCUGUGUGACUGCGUACCUUUUGUAUAAUGGGUCAGCGACUUAUAUUCUGUAGCAAGGUUAACCGAAUAGGGGAGCCGGAGGGAAACCGAGUCUUAACCGGGCGUUAAGUUGCAGGGUAUAGACCCGAAACCCGGUGAUCUAGCCAUGGGCAGGUUGAAGGUUGGGUAACACUAACUGGAGGACCGAACCGACUAAUGUUGAAAAAUUAGCGGAUGACCUGUGGCUGGGGGUGAAAGGCCAAUCAAACCGGGAGAUAGCUGGUUCUCCCCGAAAGCUAUUUAGGUAGCGCCUCGUGAAUUCAUCUCCGGGGGUAGAGCACUGUUUCGGCCAGGGGGCCAUCCCGGCUUACCAACCCGAUGCAAACUGCGAAUACCGGAGAAUGUUAUCACGGGAGACACACGGCGGGUGCUAACGUCCGUCGUGAAGAGGGAAACAACCCAGACCGCCAGCUAAGGUCCCAAAGUCAUGGUUAAGUGGGAAACGAUGUGGGAAGGCCCAGACAGCCAGGAUGUUGGCUUAGAAGCAGCCAUCAUUUAAAGAAAGCGUAAUAGCUCACUGGUCGAGUCGGCCUGCGCGGAAGAUGUAACGGGGCUAAACCAUGCACCGAAGCUGCGGCAGCGACACUGUGUGUUGUUGGGUAGGGGAGCGUUCUGUAAGCCUGCGAAGGUGUGUCGUGAGGCAUGCUGGAGGUAUCAGAAGUGCGAAUGCUGACAUAAGUAACGAUAAUGCGGGUGAAAAACCCGCACGCCGGAAGACCAAGGGUUCCUGUCCAACGUUAAUCGGGGCAGGGUGAGUCGACCCCUAAGGCGAGGCCGAAAGGCGUAGUCGAUGGGAAACGGGUUAAUAUUCCCGUACCUGGUGUUACUGCGAAGGGGGGACGGAGAAGGCUAUGUUGGCCGGGCGACGGUUGUCCCGGUUUAAGCGUGUAGGCUGGUUUUCCAGGCAAAUCCGGAAAAUCAAGGCUGAGGCGUGACGACGAGGCACUACGGUGCUGAAGCAACAAAUGCCCUGCUUCCAGGAAAAGCCUCUAAGCCUCAGGUAACAUCAGAUCGUACCCGAAACCGACACAGGUGGUCAGGUAGAGAAUACCAAGGCGCUUGAGAGAACCCGGGUGAAGGAACUAGGCAAAAUGGUGCCGUAACUUCGGGAGAAGGCACGCUGACACGUAGGUGAAGUGAUUUACUCAUGGAGCUGAAGUCAGUCGAAGAUACCAGCUGGCUGCAACUGUUUAUUAAAAACACAGCACUGUGCAAACACGAAAGUGGACGUAUACGGUGUGACGCCUGCCCGGUGCCGGAAGGUUAAUUGAUGGGGUCAGCGCAAGCGAAGCUCCUGAUCGAAGCCCCGGUAAACGGCGGCCGUAACUAUAACGGUCCUAAGGUAGCGAAAUUCCUUGUCGGGUAAGUUCCGACCUGCACGAAUGGCGUAAUGAUGGCCAGGCUGUCUCCACCCGGGACUCAGUGAAAUUGAACUCGCUGUGAAGAUGCAGUGUACCCGCGGCAAGACGGAAAGACCCCGUGAACCUUUACUAUAGCUUGACACUGAACACUGGUCCUUGAUGUGCAGGAUAGGUGGGAGGCUUUGAAGUGUGGACGCCAGUCUGCAUGGAGCCGUCCUUGAAAUACCACCCUUUAAUGGCUGGUGUUCUAACGUAGACCCGUGAACCGGGUUGCGGACAGUGUCUGGUGGGUAGUUUGACUGGGGCGGUCUCCUCCUAAAGCGUAACGGAGGAGCACGAAGGUUGGCUAAUCCUGGUCGGACAUCAGGAGGUUAGUGCAAUGGCAUAAGCCAGCUUGACUGCGAGCGUGACGGCGCGAGCAGGUGCGAAAGCAGGUCAUAGUGAUCCGGUGGUUCUGAAUGGAAGGGCCAUCGCUCAACGGAUAAAAGGUACUCCGGGGAUAACAGGCUGAUACCGCCCAAGAGUUCAUAUCGACGGCGGUGUUUGGCACCUCGAUGUCGGCUCAUCACAUCCUGGGGCUGAAGUAGGUCCCAAGGGUAUGGCUGUUCGCCAUUUAAAGUGGUACGCGAGCUGGGUUUAGAACGUCGUGAGACAGUUCGGUCCCUAUCUGCCGUGGGCGCUGGAGAACUGAGGGGGGCUGCUCCUAGUACGAGAGGACCGGAGUGGACGCAUCACUGGUGUUCGGGUUGUCAUGCCAAUGGCACUGCCCGGUAGCUAAAUGCGGAAGAGAUAAGUGCUGAAAGCAUCUAAGCACGAAACUUGCCCCGAGAUGAGUUCUCCCUGAGACUACAAGUCUCCUGAAGGAACGUUGAAGACGACGACGUUGAUAGGCCGGGUGUGUAAGCGCAGCGAUGCGUUGAGCUAACCGGUACUAAUGAACCGUGAGGCUUAACCUU